This 59-nucleotide small nuclear RNA is filed under the name Microcebus murinus (gray mouse lemur). RNAcentral's name for it is "U7 small nuclear RNA (ENSMICG00000025736.3)". It matches the Rfam family "U7 small nuclear RNA". From Rfam's summary of the family: Animal histone pre-mRNAs are spliced by a different mechanism than nuclear pre-mRNAs and self-splicing introns. This processing involves the U7 snRNP, which contains only one RNA species: U7. The record is from Rfam by way of RNAcentral. Lineage: Eukaryota; Metazoa; Chordata; Mammalia; Primates; Cheirogaleidae.
UAGUGUUACAGGUCUUUAGAAUUUGUCUAGCAGGUUUUCUGGUUCUCACCAGAACCUUC